RNAcentral lists this transfer RNA (70 nucleotides) under Plectrocnemia sp. 1 YW-2021a. RNAcentral's name for it is "tRNA-Pro". The record is from RNAcentral. Lineage: Eukaryota; Metazoa; Arthropoda; Insecta; Trichoptera; Polycentropodidae.
CAAAAAAUAGUUUUAAGUUUAAAAUAAUAAUUUUGGAAAUUAUAGAAAUACAAAUUAAGUAUUUUUUUGA